RNAcentral lists this unclassified non-coding RNA (20 nucleotides) under Chlamydomonas reinhardtii. RNAcentral's name for it is "small RNA Cre_1033". Lineage: Eukaryota; Viridiplantae; Chlorophyta; Chlorophyceae; Chlamydomonadales; Chlamydomonadaceae. The record is from RNAcentral.
CCCAGCCCAGGAUGGCACGG